RNAcentral lists this ribosomal RNA (429 nucleotides) under Verrucomicrobiota bacterium. Its description in RNAcentral is "Verrucomicrobia bacterium partial 16S ribosomal RNA". It matches the Rfam family "Bacterial small subunit ribosomal RNA", at positions 355 to 776 of the family's 1533-position model. The record is from RNAcentral. Lineage: Bacteria; Pseudomonadati; Verrucomicrobiota.
UAGGGAAUCUUCCGCAAUGGACGAAAGUCUGACGGAGCAACGCCGCGUGAGUGAAGAAGGAUUUCGGUUCGUAAAACUCUGUUGUUAGGGAAGAAAAAAUGUAUAGUAACUAUAUACAAAAGAGACGGUACCUAACCAGAAAGCCACGGCUAACUACGUGCCAGCAGCCGCGGUAAUACGUAGGUGGCAAGCGUUGUCCGGAAUUAUUGGGCGUAAAGCGCGCGCAGGUGGUUUAGAAAGUCUGAUGUGAAAGCCCACGGCUCAACCGUGGAGGGUCAUUGGAAACUAAUAAACUUGAGUGCAGGAGAGAAAAGUGGAAUUCCUAGUGUAGCGGUGAAAUGCGUAGAGAUUAGGAGGAACACCGGUGGCGAAAGCGGCUUUUUGGCCUGCGACUGACACUGAGGCGCGAAAGCGUGGGGAGCAAACAGG